Lynx canadensis (Canada lynx) is the source of this 579-nucleotide long non-coding RNA. RefSeq lists it as uncharacterized. NCBI's taxonomy places the organism in Eukaryota, Metazoa, Chordata, Mammalia, Carnivora, Felidae. The transcript has 4 exons. The record is from RefSeq and is a predicted model, not a curated record.
UGCAGUCCCAGCAGAAAGAAAAUGCACUGGAGGGGUCUGAAGAUCUCAAGCUCAGGCUUCUUUGAACUUCUGCCACAGGGUUACCCAGGAUGCACUUUGAUUUCAGGGCACAGGCCUGCUACUGUCUAUUCGUGGAGGUUGUAAGUCAGCAUGAAGGCCCAUUGACUGAAGUUGUGGGACUUUGCCCCCCCGGACACUGAGGGCAAUGCCAUGCCAAUGCACAAUGAAACAAUACACUGAGGACUCUUGAAACAGGAGGCCCAGAGAAAUGAGCGAUCCCAUGUGCUUUGGACUAACAGAUGCCGAAAGGACCACCCUCAGAUGACACUCAAAUCACAUGGAGAUAUGCAGGGAUGGCCCCAGGUACGAUGGACCAUCCCGGGGUGCUGCAUCCACAGUUCAGUGUCUACACUAAUGGGACAUCACUAUUGGGCUGCCUUCAUCAGCACAACCUCACUCCCCUAGGAGACACUCACAAACAACUUUAUUGUUUAUUCCAACAACUUCUGGAAAGACCCAUCAGCAACUCAAUAGGAAGCAGGAAACAACAGUUUAUACAUUAAAACUCUUUGAACCUUU